Molecule: transfer RNA, 55 nt
Filed under: Toxocara cati (cat roundworm)
Lineage: Eukaryota; Metazoa; Nematoda; Chromadorea; Rhabditida; Toxocaridae
Description: transfer RNA-Tyr
Source: RNAcentral
AGAAGAUUAGUUUAAAUUAAAAUAUUAGAUUGUAAAUCUAAAGAAAGUUCUUCUG